UUUCCGUAGGUGAACCUGCGGAAGGAUCAUUAAAGAGUAAGGGUCUUCGGGCCCGAUCUCCAACCCUUUGUUUAACUACCAUGUUGCUUUGGCGGGCCCGUCUCACGACCGCCGGAAGUUUGGCUUCGACCAAACUUCUGGCCCGUGCCCGUCAGUGGCCCCUUCAAAUUCUUGAUCAAGUAUGACGUCUUAGUUAAAAACUUAAUAGUUAAAACUUACAACAACGGAUCUCUUGGUUCUG
This 241-nucleotide unclassified non-coding RNA is filed under the name plant metagenome. Its description in RNAcentral is "partial contains small subunit ribosomal RNA, internal transcribed spacer 1, and 5.8S ribosomal RNA". The record is from RNAcentral.